UGCGUAGGCCGCUAAGCGUGUCAGGUGUGAAAUCUCGGGGCUCAACCUCGAAACUGCGCCUGAAACUGUUUAGCUUGAGUAUUGGAGAGGUAAGCGGAAUUUCUGGUGUAGCGGUGAAAUGCGUAGAUAUCAGAAGGAACACCAAUGGCGAAGGCAGCUUACUGGACAAUAACUGACGCUGAGGCACGAAAGCGUGGGUAGCGAAAG
Molecule: ribosomal RNA, 207 nt
Filed under: uncultured bacterium
Lineage: Bacteria
Description: partial 16S ribosomal RNA
Rfam family: Bacterial small subunit ribosomal RNA
Source: RNAcentral